Molecule: transfer RNA, 72 nt
Filed under: Camelus bactrianus (Bactrian camel)
Lineage: Eukaryota; Metazoa; Chordata; Mammalia; Artiodactyla; Camelidae
Also listed under: 2 other names
Rfam family: tRNA
About the family: Transfer RNA (tRNA) molecules are approximately 80 nucleotides in length. Their secondary structure includes four short double-helical elements and three loops (D, anti-codon, and T loops). Further hydrogen bonds mediate the characteristic L-shaped molecular structure. tRNAs have two regions of fundamental functional importance: the anti-codon, which is responsible for specific mRNA codon recognition, and the 3' end, to which the tRNAs corresponding amino acid is attached (by aminoacyl-tRNA synthetases). tRNAs cope with the degeneracy of the genetic code in two manners: having more than one tRNA (with a specific anti-codon) for a particular amino acid; and 'wobble' base-pairing, i.e. permitting non-standard base-pairing at the 3rd anti-codon position.
Source: Rfam by way of RNAcentral
AUAGGUAUAACUCGGAGGUAGAGCACAUGCUUAGCAUGCACGAGGUCCUGGGUUCAAGCCCCAGUACCUCCA